CCUACGGGAGGCAGCAGUGAGGAAUAUUGGUCAAUGGGCGCGAGCCUGAACCAGCCAAGUCGCGUGAGGGAUGAAGGUUCUAUGGAUUGUAAACCUCUUUUAUAAGGGAAUAAAGUGUGGGACGUGUCCUAUUUUGCGUGUACCUUAUGAAUAAGGAUCGGCUAACUCCGUGCCAGCAGCCGCGGUAAUACGGAGGAUCCGAGCGUUAUCCGGAUUUAUUGGGUUUAAAGGGUGCGUAGGCGGACUUUUAAGUCAGCGGUGAAAGUUUGGGGCUCAACCAUAGAAUUGCCGUUGAAACUGGGGGGCUGGAGUAUGUGUGAGGCAGGCGGAAUGCGUGGUGUAGCGGUGAAAUGCUUAGAUAUCACGCAGAACCCCGAUUGCGAAGGCAGCAUGCCAAGGCAGGACUGACGCUGAUGCACGAAAGCGUGGGGAUCAAACAGGAUUAGAUACCCGAGUAGUC
This 460-nucleotide ribosomal RNA is filed under the name uncultured bacterium. RNAcentral's name for it is "partial 16S ribosomal RNA". It matches the Rfam family "Bacterial small subunit ribosomal RNA", at positions 338 to 795 of the family's 1533-position model. The record is from RNAcentral.